UGAUUUCAGAUCAAAGAGAUGACAUCACAGAGAUGAAAGGCUUCCUAUUGGUCCUUAGUAACCAGGCAACCUUACUCUGUAUGUCUGUCUGUUGAAAUCUAUCUGUCUCCCUCUCUCUCAGACACACACACAGACAGACACACACACACGUCCUAACGUCUUAAAUAGGUUUUAAAAAGUUAUAUCUCUGAAGGCUUUAGACACUUAUUAUUUUUUAAUAAGUCUUAUUGCUAUUUGCAUGUGCACCAAGUAAGAGGCACACUGAUAAAAUUUCUGCGGAAUUUUAUAGUUGUUAUUAUUAGUGGGAAUGCGGUUCAGCAUUCCCCA
Molecule: long non-coding RNA, 327 nt
Organism: Etheostoma cragini (Arkansas darter)
Lineage: Eukaryota; Metazoa; Chordata; Actinopteri; Perciformes; Percidae
Exons: 4
Source: RefSeq, a predicted model, not a curated record